Molecule: ribosomal RNA, 559 nt
Filed under: uncultured bacterium
Lineage: Bacteria
Description: bacterial SSU rRNA
Rfam family: Bacterial small subunit ribosomal RNA
Source: RNAcentral
AGUUUGAUCCUGGCUCAGGAUGAACGCUGGCGGCGUGCCUAAUACAUGCAAGUCGAACGCUUUGUGGUUCAACUGAUUUGAAGAGCUUGCUCAGAUAUGACGAUGGACAUUGCAAAGAGUGGCGAACGGGUGAGUAACACGUGGGAAACCUACCUCUUAGCAGGGGAUAACAUUUGGAAACAGAUGCUAAUACCGUAUAACAAUGACAACCGCAUGGUUGUUAUUUAAAAGAUGGUUCUGCUAUCACUAAGAGAUGGUCCCGCGGUGCAUUAGCUAGUUGGUAAGGUAAUGGCUUACCAAGGCGAUGAUGCAUAGCCGAGUUGAGAGACUGAUCGGCCACAAUGGGACUGAGACACGGCCCAUACUCCUACGGGAGGCAGCAGUAGGGAAUCUUCCACAAUGGGCGAAAGCCUGAUGGAGCAACGCCGCGUGUGUGAUGAAGGGUUUCGGCUCGUAAAACACUGUUGUAAGAGAAGAAUGACAUUGAGAGUAACUGUUCAAUGUGUGACGGUAUCUUACCAGAAAGGAACGGCUAAAUACGUGCCAGCAGCCGCGGUAA